AUCAAAUAUACAGCCUGGGUGUAGAGACCAAGAACAGCGGUACCAAACUUGCUACACCCUAGAAGAAGGUGAGAAAACAGUGUGCAUAGACAACCUUAUUUUUUAUCCAUUUUUAUCUAGAAUAUACAGCCUGGGUGUAGAGACCGGGAACAGUGGUACCAAGCUUGCUCCUCUCUAGAAGAAGAUGGGGAAACUGAGGCUGAGAGGUCAAGCAUCAAGGAUUCAAACAAAGAUCGUCUGACUCCAGACCUUUGGGCUUACACAGAAGUGGCAUUUACAGGUUCAGUGAGUGUUCC
Molecule: long non-coding RNA, 296 nt
Filed under: Monodelphis domestica (gray short-tailed opossum)
Lineage: Eukaryota; Metazoa; Chordata; Mammalia; Didelphimorphia; Didelphidae
Description: lncRNA (ENSMODG00000046891.1)
Source: RNAcentral